GACGUAGGGUGCAAGCGUUGUCCGGAUUUACUGGGCGUAAAGGGCGCGUAGGCGGUCUGUUAAGUGUAGAGUGAAAUCUCCAGGGCUCAACCCGGAAACUGCUCUGCAUACUGGCAGACUUGAGGGACGAAGAGGUAUGUGGAAUUCCUGGUGUAGCGGUGAAAUGCGUUGAUAUCAGGAGGAACACCCAUGGCUAAGGCAGCAUACUGGUCGUUUCCUGACUCUGAGGCGCUAUAGCGUGAGUAGCAAACAGG
This 254-nucleotide ribosomal RNA is filed under the name uncultured bacterium. Its description in RNAcentral is "partial 16S ribosomal RNA". It matches the Rfam family "Bacterial small subunit ribosomal RNA", at positions 524 to 776 of the family's 1533-position model. The record is from RNAcentral.